Molecule: small nuclear RNA, 103 nt
Organism: Sciurus carolinensis (gray squirrel)
Lineage: Eukaryota; Metazoa; Chordata; Mammalia; Rodentia; Sciuridae
Source: RefSeq, a predicted model, not a curated record
AUGCUCACUUCGGCAGCACAUAUACUAAAAUUGGAACAAGACAGAGAUUAGCAUGGCCCUGUGCAAGGAUGACAUGCAAAUUUUUGAAUUGUUCUAUACUUUU